Molecule: ribosomal RNA, 331 nt
Filed under: uncultured eukaryote
Lineage: Eukaryota
Description: LSU rRNA
Rfam family: Bacterial large subunit ribosomal RNA
Source: RNAcentral
AUUGAGUUUAUUCUUGCGGGAAUUUAGGAGCCAUCAGUGAGAUACCACUCUGGUAAUGUUAGAUUUCUAACUUUGUAUCAUGAUCUGGUCAAAGAACAGUUUCAGGCGGGCAGUUUGACUGGGGCGGUCGCCUCCCAAAUGGUAACGGAGGCGUACAAAGGUUUCCUCUGAACGUGUAGAAAUCGUAUCUAGAGUGUAAAGGCAUAAGGAAGCUUGACUGUGAGACCUACAAGUCGAGCAGGGACGAAAGUCGGUCUUAGUGAUCUGACGGUGCUGAGUGGAAAGGCCGUCACUCAACGGAUAAAAGUUACUCUAGGGAUAACAGGCUGAA